GGAUUAGUACGUUGGUCAUGCCUUCGGUAUGUACUGAUGUUACUGGUCCUUCCCUUCUGACGAACCGUCAUGUCAUUUAUUUGGUGUGGCGGGGAAUCAGGACUGUUACUUUGAAAAAAUUAGAGUGUUUAAAGCAGGCUCGCGCUUGAAUACAUUAGCAUGGAAUAAUGAAAUAGGACGUUUGAUCUUAUUUUGUUGGUUUCUAGGAUCGACGUA
This 216-nucleotide ribosomal RNA is filed under the name uncultured fungus. RNAcentral's name for it is "partial small subunit ribosomal RNA". The stretch from base 28 to 216 matches the Rfam family "Eukaryotic small subunit ribosomal RNA", at positions 674 to 864 of the family's 1831-position model. The record is from RNAcentral. Lineage: Eukaryota; Fungi.